GGAUAUGAGGGCAAUCUGGCUGCAAAUGCAUUACCCCACUGACCAUAGCAUCGUUGUGGCUGAUCUGGCUGGUGAGAUACGUACACCCUUCUUCCCUCAUCACUUCGUGUGAAUCCUCUCAAAGCUGCACGGUUCAUCAAAGAGGAGGACUGUUCUCAGGCUGAGGGCAAGCAAAUAGCUGUCCUCCUCCAAUAGAACCUCCUCAAAGCUCUCAUGGGCCAGAAAGUGGAAGCCAUUCCUCUUUAUCAAUCAGCAAAAUGAAUAUAUAGAAUUUGGUAUAAGCCAAGAAUGGGAUAAAGUUUUCAUUUCUGC
This 312-nucleotide small nuclear RNA is filed under the name Microtus ochrogaster (prairie vole). Its description in RNAcentral is "7SK RNA (ENSMOCG00000005934.1)". The stretch from base 1 to 273 matches the Rfam family "7SK RNA". Rfam says of the family: 7SK was discovered as an abundant small nuclear RNA in the mid-70s but a possible function has only recently been suggested. Lineage: Eukaryota; Metazoa; Chordata; Mammalia; Rodentia; Cricetidae. The record is from RNAcentral.